GCAGCUGAAUUAGAGAUCGGCGCCUGCUUUUUUAAUCGUUUUAUGAAUUUGGAGUUCUAUAAUGUCUCUAAGUGUUGAAGCUAAAGCUCAAAUCGUUGCUGACUUCGGUCGUGACGC
Molecule: non-coding RNA, 117 nt
Filed under: Hafnia paralvei
Lineage: Bacteria; Pseudomonadati; Pseudomonadota; Gammaproteobacteria; Enterobacterales; Hafniaceae
Description: Ribosomal S15 leader
Rfam family: Ribosomal S15 leader
About the family: The E. coli Ribosomal S15 gene 5' UTR can form two alternative structures. One that is a series of three hairpins, The other includes a pseudoknot. This structure causes translational regulation of the S15 protein.
Source: RNAcentral